RNAcentral lists this ribosomal RNA (253 nucleotides) under uncultured bacterium. Its description in RNAcentral is "partial 16S ribosomal RNA". It matches the Rfam family "Bacterial small subunit ribosomal RNA", at positions 524 to 776 of the family's 1533-position model. The record is from RNAcentral.
GACGGGGUAUGCAAGCGUUAUCGGGAAUUAUUGGGCGUAAAGGAUGCGUAGCUGGUCGUACAAGUCACAUGUCAAAGCAUGGUGCUUAACUCCAUAGAGGCGUGAGAAACUGUCGGACUAGAGUGCAGCAGGGGCGGAAGGAAUUCCCUGUGUAGCGGUGAAAUGCGUAGAUAUCGGGAAGACCACCAGUGGCGCAAGCGUUCUGCUGGGCUGUAACUGACGCUGAGGCAUGAAAGCUGGGGGAGCGAAACGG